GCAGCUGCAAUUUAUCGUUGCAUUUACUGUCGCGUUGGUACAAUGAAUUUACUACAAUAUUGCCGUCGGUAUACCGUAUCUCACGACGCGUGCCAUCCGCGUACCUUAACUAAUACAUAAAUCCAAUGAUAAUAUUUAUCAUAUAGGGUGAAGUAAGAGGAACAGGCUGGAUGGACGAGAGAGUAAAGAAGAAGAAGAAGAAGAAGAAGAGGAAGAAGAAGAGAAAAAGAAAGGAACAAGAAAAGCAAAAGAAAAGGAAAAAAAAAAGUGGGCUAUAAGAAGUCUUUGCGAGUAUUAAGAAACCUUAUCGAUAUUGAGUCUGGUGAACACAAUUAGAUUCGUCGUAGAUCAAGAGAGCGCCAUUAGCUGCGACAAGAAGUUAACGAUUAUCUCGACAAACAUAUAAUAGCUUUCAAGGAAGAAAGUGGAAGGCGACGACGGCUUUGGAUUUGUGAUCCCUUCGCCAGGAAAAUAAGACGAGCGUACCUCCGUCCUCUCAACUUUCCACGACUCGGAUAGAGCUUAUUGAGAAUUUUAUGGUGAAAGAGACCAGGAGAUUCUUAUUCGCAUACUUCUAAUAUCUCAAAGGACGGAAUAGUCCUUAAAGGGAAGAAACCUUGACAGGCAAGCUGCCAGGCAGCCAGGACGAAGACGACGCUUGUCGGUGAUGACGCGACACUACCGGAGUUAAGUGGCGAAACGCGCGGAUGGCAAAAGUAAAAAGAAAAGAAAAGGAAAAAAAGAAGAAGAAGUCCAAUGAAAAAAACCGACUCGAAACCGAAGCGAAGCGAAGCGGCUAAAACAAAAGAGGUGCGGAGGUGUGACGAAACGCCGAGAUCGGUGAAGAAGGAGGAGAAGGAGGAGGAAGAGGAGGAGGAGGACCGACCCCUCCGAUCUACACCUUUCUCUUUCUCUCGAUUCAUUCCCGAAUCCUUCUCCCUUACCCUCUCCCUAUUCUUUUUAGCCUUUAGCUUACGGAUCUUUCAAAAAAAAGUUCAUUCUUCACGAGCCACCUUGUGUAUCGUCUCCUCCUCCUCCUCCUCCUCCUCCUCCUUCUCUACCCUUCCUCACCCUCCAACGCCCGCUCACCAACCGAUUCUUUCGUUCGAUUCAAUUUCUAUAUAUCUGCUUUAUCGAUCUUCAUGAAAAAAAAAAAAAAGAAAUGUAAUUAUACAUAUAUAUGUAUACACAUAUAAAAAUAUCUUAUAUGAAAAAGGAAAUAAAUUGUAUAUAUAUAUAU
This is a long non-coding RNA of Vespa velutina, 1240 nucleotides long. RefSeq lists it as uncharacterized. The record is from RefSeq and is a predicted model, not a curated record. The transcript has 4 exons. NCBI's taxonomy places the organism in Eukaryota, Metazoa, Arthropoda, Insecta, Hymenoptera, Vespidae.